Molecule: long non-coding RNA, 2325 nt
Filed under: Elaeis guineensis (African oil palm)
Lineage: Eukaryota; Viridiplantae; Streptophyta; Magnoliopsida; Arecales; Arecaceae
Description: long non-coding RNA (EGUI_LNC022720)
Source: RNAcentral
CUUUACAUCAAAAAAAAAAAAGCCUUUCAGUAAUGGUGUUUGGUUUCAAAAGUCCAUGAUAAGCUUUGCUUCAUUUAAAGUUGCAAUAGCAAAUCACAAUCUAAGAUACAAAACAUAUAUGCAGUUAUAGCCUCAUUGGUACAGUGGAUGUUUCUUGGCAAUUGAAGAUCGAUGUCUCCUCUUUUAUAGGCACUUCUAGUGCUUGGUCUUGGUGAUGGUUGUCCAAGCUUACCCUUCUCUCCUGGAUCUUUUUUCAACUAGCUAGUUGUGCAAAGGGAGAUCAUUACCUUGCAUAACAUCUCGUAAUUGGUCUCUUUAGCAUGAUUCAUUUAGGUGCACAUGCUUUGGAACAGAUUACACGAGAGGUAUUGAUCUCCAAUGCAAGAUAAAAACCUCUUAUCUCUUGGAACCUCCAUUUGUUAAAUGAAUGAACACGAGGGAACUGCUAAAAGCAAUAAAGAGAGAGCUCAUGAGAGAGAGAGGUUUUUAGAAGUUAAUAAUGAGGAUUUCUACUUUAAUGAAAUCUUUUACCAAAUGGAGAAAAGAAAAGGACAAAAACAAUAACAAAACAAAGUAGAAAAUUAUAUUUUCUUCUAAUAUAAAGUGGGAAAGCCUAGAGCGCGGCAUGCAAAGCGUGAUAGACUUUAAGGCCUUCCAUACGGUAGAUUUGUGUCCUAACUAAAGAUACUUAUUUAUAGGCCCAUGUAUUUAUGGUCUAACCAGAAGUGGGCUACAUUUCUCAACAAGCUGCUUUUCAAUAACCAAACAAAAGCUUUUCAACCUAGCUACUUUUUAUUUUCUCUUUUCAUCCAACAAGACAAUUCUAACCUUUUUUUCUUUUUAUCAACUCUGAGAAGGCUUCUGAUAAAUGAAACCAUUGUUUUAGUGGAAGAAAAUAUUUUUAAACCAUGCCAUUCUGAAACAUAUUAGACCAUACUUUGCAGAUUAAGAAAUAGAAUAUUAAGUUCCAAUGGGUUUUUUUUUCUUGCGAAAUUAUGAAACCACGAUAUGAUUUAAGAUUUGCAACCCAAGGAAUGAACAAUAGAAAUCAGAAAUUGUAGUCAUAAAUUGGGCUUUCUGGAGUAAUUCAAUUACCUGCAAAGCUUUAGAAUAUGGAAAAAUCCAAGAAAUUCAUCAACAGUUGGAAAAAAUUCAGAUAACCAAAAUCAAGAAUAAAAUAACAACUUUAAAAAAAAAAAAAGCUUCUUGAAAUUCUUGUAUACUUGUCUACUUUCAUAAGUAUCGUCGUGGAGGGGGUUUGGAAGUAACAUGUAAAAGAGGCAAAAAAGGUAAACGAGAGCAAAAAUCAACAACUAUGUAUGCGACCAUUUGUUUGUAAAACACAAAGAUUUCUUAAAUUAGUCUAGAAUAAUCUGCAAAUAAAUCAUAAAAUCCAUCUAAUACUCCAUAACAAUUGAUGAAUUCUGAAAUUGAUAUAUUCAAAGAGAAUAAUUUGGAGGAUCAUUAGACCAAGAGAACAACUCAGAAAUUUUCAGUUUAAAUAAUAAUUGAUAGACACUACAUAGCCAAAUCACAUACAAGUGGGUGAUGCAUGGUAGGAGAGGUUUUGGAAUAACAGAAGUAACUUUUUUUUUUAUUAAGAGGUAUGGUGAUUACUUAUAGAGCUAUGUAAGGAAUUAACUAUGUCAAACAUUCGAGGAAACACCCUUCCCAGGUCCAAACAUGGAACCCCUUUCCCACGUAAGGUUUAAGUGCUGUAAUCCAAAAGGCUAAUGUCUCACCCCUUUUGCAAGAUUAAACCAACAAAGAUACAUAACCUAUUCACAAAACUCUCUUUUGAUCAAUACGUUUGCAUAAUGAUAGAAAAUUGGCAUAGAAAAUUAUUAUUCGUCCUAUAAACAAUGAGAACAUCUAUAUAAUGGCCAUUUAAACCAAAUAAAAGCGAAAUAGAGAUAAAACGAUUUUGGGAUUGUCAAAUUGGUUAUGACAAUAAACUUUACUUUUUGUUUCGCUCGAGAGAAGCAACGAGCAUAACAGUCCCUGUUUCCAGAUAGAAAGAAAGAAAAAAAAAAAAAAUCAUCAUUACCUCGUUCAUUCUUUCAUUACAAACAGAGCUCUUGACCAAAAAGAAGAAAGACAACGAAAAUCAUAAUGGUAUAUAUUUGAUUAGCAUGAUGGUAACAAUUUGUAGAACAAGUAAAAGGUAAAAAUAUAUAUAGGAUCAAAAAUAUAAGUAAAUAACCCACCAACUCGAAGUUCAAACUGCAAUAAGCUUCAUCAACUCGUCUCUCUCUAUCUAGCUUUGGAGCGAGUUCUCUCUCAUUUUAGGAUUAACGUCAGUUCUGGCCUGAGCACACUAAGUUU